Long non-coding RNA from Arabidopsis lyrata subsp. lyrata, 284 nucleotides. RefSeq lists it as uncharacterized. The transcript has 3 exons. Lineage: Eukaryota; Viridiplantae; Streptophyta; Magnoliopsida; Brassicales; Brassicaceae. The record is from RefSeq and is a predicted model, not a curated record.
GAUAAUCGUAGUUGUGGCAGUACAAUAAGGAUGGAGAUUCGUAUUCUCCAGCGGCUCGUGAACUCGAUAGAGAAUCGAUUCUUCAAGGUGCUCUAAAUCGUUUUUCCCUGAGGAAUUUGGCACUGCAGAGGGGAGAAAGGCCACGAGAUAGAAGAUAUCUUCAUUUGGAGUUAUCAAAGACGUAUGUUUGUUCCACCUGCAACCAUAAAAUGUUGGAUAUGGUUAAUAAUUCACAUCCCGGGUACAUACAUUCUCUUCCUGCCACGAUUUCCUGCAUAAUAGGU